AGAGUUUGAUCCUGGCUCAGAAUGAACGCUGGCGGCGUGCUUAACACAUGCAAGUCGUACGAGAACUCUUUAGCUUGCUAGAGAUAGUAAAGUGGCGUACGGGUGAGUAACGCGUGGGUAAUCUACCUCCGAAUUGGGGAUAACCCGCCGAAAGGCGAGCUAAUACCGGAUAAUAUCUAUAAAACUUCGGUUUUAAAGAUCAAAGGUGGUCUCUACAUGUAAGCUACUGUUUGGAGAUGAGCCCGCGUACCAUUAGCUUGUUGGUAGGGUAAUGGCCUACCAAGGCUUCGAUGGUUAGCUGGUCUGAGAGGAUGAUCAGCCACACUGGAACUGAUACACGGUCCAGACUCCUACGGGAGGCAGCAGUGAGGAAUUUUGCGCAAUGGGGGAAACCCUGACGCAGCAACGCCGCGUGAGUGAUGAAGGCUUUCGGGUCGUAAAGCUCUGUCAAGUGGGAAGAACAUGCUUGAUGCUAAUACCAUCGUGCACUGACGGUACCACUGAAGGAAGCACCGGCUAACUCCGUGCCAGCAGCCGCGGUAAUACGGGGGGUGCAAGCGUUAUUCGGAAUUAUUGGGCGUAAAGGGCGCGUAGGCGGUCUCUUAAGUCAGAUGUGAAAGCCCGGGGCUUAACCCCGGAAGUGCAUUUGAAACUAAGGGACUUGAGUAUGGGAGAGGGAAGUGGAAUUCCUGGUGUAGAGGUGAAAUUCGUAGAUAUCAGGAGGAACACCGGUGGCGAAGGCGACUUCCUGGACCAAUACUGACGCUGAGGCGCGAAGGCGUGGGGAGCAAACAGGAUUAGAUACCCUGGUAGUCCACGCAGUAAACGGUGAACACUAGGUGUAGCGGGUAUUGACCCCUGCUGUGCCGUAGCUAACGCAUUUAGUGUUCCGCCUGGGGAGUACGGUCGCAAGAUUAAAACUCAAAGGAAUUGACGG
Molecule: ribosomal RNA, 937 nt
Filed under: uncultured bacterium
Lineage: Bacteria
Description: bacterial SSU rRNA
Rfam family: Bacterial small subunit ribosomal RNA
Source: RNAcentral